RNAcentral lists this ribosomal RNA (474 nucleotides) under uncultured bacterium. Its description in RNAcentral is "bacterial SSU rRNA". It matches the Rfam family "Bacterial small subunit ribosomal RNA", at positions 34 to 518 of the family's 1533-position model. The record is from RNAcentral.
CGCUGGCGGCGUGCCGUAACACAUGCAAGUCGAGCGGGGAUAGGGGCUUCGGCCCUAUUCUAGCGGCGGACGGGUGAGUAACGCGUGAACAAUCUGUCCUGUACAGGGGGAUAACACUUGGAAACAGGUGCUAAUACCGCAUAAGGCCCACGGCCCGGCAUCGGGGCAGGGGGAAAAGGGGCAACUCGGUAUAGGGUGAGUUCGCGUCCCAUUAGCUGGUUGGCGGGGUAAAGGCCCACCAAGGCAACGAUGGGUAGCCGACCUGAGAGGGUGAUCGGCCACACUGGAACUGAGAAACGGUCCAGACUCCUACGGGAGGCAGCAGUGGGGAAUAUUGGGCAAUGGGGGAAACCCUUGACCCAGCAACGCCGCGUGAGGGAAGAAGGCUUUCGGGUCGUAAACCUCUGUCCCAUGGGAAGAGCAGAAGACGGUACCAUGGGAGGAAGCCCCGGCUAACUACGUGCCAGCAGCCGC